GGCAGUGGCAAAGGCAUUGGAGGGCACUACUGUGGGGGAGGGAUAGAGGCACACUAGCUGCAGAGGGAGGGUUGGGGGCACUGGGUGAUGGCAGGGGCCCUGUGGGGCUUGUGGGGGCUGGCCUCACUGGCUGUGGGGAGGGGAGUGGGGAUGCUGGGGUUGUGGCAGUAGCAUUGGGGCACUGUGCAGCUUCCCUUCCCUGCCAGACUGUGCCCGACCGGAGUUAAAGGAUAAGGACAUAACUUGGCAAGAUGAACAUUCAGCCCCUUUCUCCUGGGAGACCAAGAGUCAAAUGGAGUUCAGUGUUGCAUCUUUAUCCCUACAAGAACAAGGUGGUGUCCCAUCACAAAAUGAACAGAGACAACCAGUCAAAGCCACACCUGGUGUCCAGGCACCCAAAUCUUCUCAGGGUAAUAAGAUGCCUAGCUCUGAUGGGUUAAUACCAUCCAGGAAAGAAGAGGAGUCCUCUUUCUGGAAGAUAAAUGCAGAGCGUUCAAAGUUUGAAGGAGGCCAAUCAGAAUUCCAGUCCUUGACCCCUAGCCAGAUUAAAUCGAUGGAGAAAGGAGAGAAAGCCCUUACAUCUUUUUAUAGGCAAGAGUCUACUCCAAAAGAGACGACCAAAGGUGAGAAACCCAGCAUAGGUAAACCAGAAACGUUCGUCACUCCAAGCCUCUCUUCUCUAUCUACGGAGUGGGAGAAACCUCAACCCAGUCAGCCUACAGCUAACACGCUAGAUGACCUCCUUCCUGAACCACCCCAGGAACUGCCAUCUUCAGGGACAAAAACUGAAGAGGCUGAGGGCCCUAUGCUUUCAGACCCAGUUGGACAGUUUCCUUGAUGGUGCUGUGCUGAAUCUUAACUGAGCUGUUAUUCAACGCACCAAACUACAGAUGUACAGUACUGAUGCAUUUCAGUAUGUGUGCGCAAUACAUUAGUAUACAUGUCAGAUUGCUGUAGGCACUCGGCAUACAACUUCACACCUUACAUAGAUCAAAUCAGCUAUUCUAUUUGUGAAGCUUCCAGGGGUGUGGUGUGAGGUCACAAGGCUGCAGACUGAACUGAGUAUUUAGAAGAUGGUGCAAGCUGCCCAACAACUGAAUGAAAACAUUUGGAUUUAGGAAGGUACAUCGAUAUCUGGAGCCUUGGUUGGUUUGGUUUCUUGUCUGGAGAGAGAGAAAGAGAGUAAUACAAACACCAUUAUCUUGAAGACUGGCUUUGAUUUUCUAGACAACUGGUAAAGAUACUACAAAAUAGUUCACAUCAAGUUUGGAGAAGGAAAGAGGCAUUUUCUCUUUGUUUGUUAAGUUACUAGCAUCUGCGUAUUUAAAAAAAAUAAUUUUCAAACUCUAAAUGUUGCCUUUGUAUAAACUUUUUUGUAAUACCAGAUGCAUUUUUGUACUUCAAAUGUUUGUGAUAGGUGUGAUCUCUUUUUUUUUUUUUUUUUGAAUUUUGUAACGUCUGUUACAAGUUGAGUAGUUAUUGUAUUGGGGGAAAUUGUAUACAUUAAAGAGCAAACUUCUAUGUUCAAAAGACUCAGCCUACCAAGAACCGGUUCCUGUUUUGUUAGGAAUUGGGUUAGCAUGGCUCAUAAGCAUUUGCAUCUUUCAUGACAAAAAUGAAUUAAAUGCAGUGUUGCUUUAAAUACACUACCAAAAGACUCCUUUGAGAAAGGCAUGAAAAAAUAAGCAUAUUAUAAGAAUUGUAUUUUCUUUGUUUAUUUCAUAUCUAGUUUGGCAGUAUUGUAUUCUACCACCUUUUUUGCAAGUUAUUUUGAGAGGAGCCAAAGGUUUGACAAAAAUGCUUGGUUCAAAGAAUCACUGCAGUUGUGUUCUAUAGAUACGUUUGCUAGAAAGGAAGACUUCUUACAAAAGUGGCUUGGGAAGUGACUGUAAACAUGAGUGAGGAUGCUGACCUUUGUUUUGCCCAAUUUUUUUUCCAAGGAAUGAAAACCUAAAGAAGUCACUGCUUCCAUAUAGCCCUUGGUAGCAGAAAUGUUGAAGUAAAUCACCGGUGUCUCCAGGAGCAGGCAUCACUUAAGUUUUUGCUAUGGUAAACUACUACAUUUGUAGCAGGCUAUAGCACACUAAGGCUUUUUGUACUCUUUUUAUAACAGCUAUCCCUCUUGAGGACACAUCAGUCUAAUUUCUGGUGCUCUUUCCUUUUGUGGAUACAUCCUCCCUGGUGUCUACUCUCUGGGUAGUGUUUGCAUCUGAGGUGCAAACAGAACCAAAAGGUAGCCUUUGGCAUGUUUGCCUCCAGGUCUACUUUUGAAUGAUCUUCAGCUGCUGUUAAGGGUGGAGAACAGGAUUUCAGCUGUCAUUUGGACUGCUGUCUCCAAAAUGCAGCAUGACUUAGACACUGAUUUUUCACUGUGUUUCUCACCUUGAAGCCUUAAUUCCCCUUACACACAACCAGUGAAGGGUCCAAUGCCAGAGGUUUAACCUUUCCUUUUUACCUCCAUAAUUGAUUCCAAAAUUAUCUAUCCGGGGUGGAAGGAAAAAGAUACAGCUCAUUUUAAUGAAUCCAUGCCAAAGUUGUACUAUGGCCAAAUGAUGGGCAGUCUAUACCAGUUGGACUUAAUUCCCUUAGGCCUCAUAUGGAUUGGCAUUCGACAGUUUGUUGCUACUAGUGACAGUUAAAACCUGCUGAUUACAUUUUUUGACCAAAAUUUUCUUUUGUACAAUAAAAGUCUUUGAGAAGAUUUCAAAGUAGUCUGCAGGUAUUGAAGAAACUCCAUUCUGCAGAGUGGUGUGCUGCUUGCCUUGUUUGCUUUGAGGCAGGUGGUGUAUAUUUACUAUCAAACAGCAGUGAAUGCUUGCUUUCCUUAAUCUAUUUAAAGGCUCAGUUAUAAAAUUUAGCCUUUUUCAAAAACAAGUAUUAACAUCUAGCAACAGAAAAGAAUAAAAUAUUGGAUAGCUAGUCAUAGAAAAGCAGAUUUUACAGUGAGGUUUCAUAGCACAAUGAUAACUUCUGAAACAGCAUUAAUAAAGCUGUGCUACAAAAUACACUUCAACUGAAUGCACUCAGUGAUACAUAUCAAGUAAACUUCUAUGUAAAGGAUGGGUCUUAUAUUUGAUCCCUGUAAAUUCAGGAGAAAAUUUUAGUUCUUUUGUAUUUCAUAUUCCUGUUGGCCCAGAUAUACUUAUAAUAUUUGCUGCUUAGUUUAAUAUUUUUAAAUGGCCCUUAUUAGUGUUACGUUAUCAUCUAGCAUUAAUAUGGAAAAUUAAACAAGGACUUGAGCAUAAAGUCCAGAUGUAUGAAAUACUGCUGACUUGCACUUUUUCCUCAAACUUGAGGAGUCCUUGAAAUUUUUUUAAGCUGAAUGACACUAAUCAUGGGUUUUACAGUUACUAAUAAAAGCUUUGAAUUGUUUUCAGUAAAUUGAAAUAUUCAGCCAUCAGUGUGUAUUUUCAAUCCAUGCAAGAGGCAUCAACUUUUUAAUCUUGCUUCAAUAUUUGUAGCGCUUUGUGUAACACUUCUUAAUGUCGGGAGGAGCAUUCGUUUACACCUGUGCUAAAUGGAUUGUAGAUUUGUAAUUUGCUUCAAUUUUGUGCUCUCUUUACUACCAUUUUUAGAGUACUGCAUCCUAUACACAUUUGGGACCAGCUGGUAGAACAUGCUGCAGAACUUUUACUUAUUCAGUAGAUUUUUCCUUGCUGAUCUUUGACACAAAUUGAUGCUUCUCCCUUUCUAUGAUAUGCUUUUAUUAAACGUUCAUAACAGAAAAAAAUGUACAUGGUCACAUUUUAUAUUAACAAACCUUUUAAUAAAGUCACUUUACAUAGAA
Molecule: RNA transcript, 3787 nt
Organism: Alligator sinensis (Chinese alligator)
Lineage: Eukaryota; Metazoa; Chordata; Crocodylia; Alligatoridae
Gene: CUNH1orf198
Gene name: chromosome unknown C1orf198 homolog
Exons: 5
Source: RefSeq, a predicted model, not a curated record